UACGGAGGGUGCAAGCGUUAUCCGGAUUUAUUGGGUUUAAAGGGUCCGUAGGCGGGUCAGUAAGUCAGUGGUGAAAUCUCAUAGCUUAACUAUGAAACUGCCAUUGAUACUGCUGGUCUUGAGUGUAGUUGAAGUGGCUGGAAUGAGUAGUGUAGCGGUGAAAUGCAUAGAUAUUACUCAGAACACCAAUUGCGAAGGCAGGUCACUAAGUUACAACUGACGCUGAUGGACGAAAGCGUGGGGAGCGAACAGG
RNAcentral lists this ribosomal RNA (253 nucleotides) under uncultured bacterium. RNAcentral describes it as "partial 16S ribosomal RNA". It matches the Rfam family "Bacterial small subunit ribosomal RNA", at positions 524 to 776 of the family's 1533-position model. The record is from RNAcentral.